UGAGGAAUAUUGGUCAAUGGACGAGAGUCUGAACCAGCCAAGUAGCGUGCAGGAUGACGGCCCUAUGGGUUGUAAACUGCUUUUGUUUGGGAAUAAUCGACAUUACGUGUAAUGUUUUGCAUGUACCAUUCGAAUAAGGACCGGCUAAUUCCGUGCCAGCAGCCGCGGUAAUACGGAAGGUCCAGGCGUUAUCCGGAUUUAUUGGGUUUAAAGGGAGCGUAGGCUGUCUAUUAAGCGUGUUGUGAAAUUUACCGGCUCAACCGGUGGCUUGCAGCGCGAACUGGUCGACUUGAGUAUGCAGGAAGUAGGCGGAAUUCAUGGUGUAGCGGUGAAAUGCUUAGAUAUCAUGACGAACUCCGAUUGCGCAGGCAGCUUACUGUAGCAUAACUGACGCUGAUGCUCGAAAGUGCGGGUAUCAAACAGG
RNAcentral lists this ribosomal RNA (424 nucleotides) under Verrucomicrobiota bacterium. Its description in RNAcentral is "Verrucomicrobia bacterium partial 16S ribosomal RNA". It matches the Rfam family "Bacterial small subunit ribosomal RNA", at positions 355 to 776 of the family's 1533-position model. The record is from RNAcentral. Lineage: Bacteria; Pseudomonadati; Verrucomicrobiota.